AAUGAACGUUGGCGGCGUGGAUUAGGCAUGCAAGUCGAACGAAUCCCAGGGGGCAACUCCUGGGGGAAGUGGCGAAAGGGGCAGUAAUGUAUGGGUAACCUACCCGGGGGUCGUGGAUAGCCGUCCUAACGGACGGGUAAUACAUGGCGAUUCGACGGAGUGGCAUCACUUUGUCGGGAAAGAAUUUCGCCUCCGGAGGGGCUCAUAUCGUAUUAGCUAGUUGGUGAGGUAACGGCUCACCAAGGCGAAGAUGCGUAGCGGGUGUGAGAGCACGACCCGCGCCACUGGCACUGAGACACUGGCCAGACACCUACGGGUGGCUGCAGUCGAGGAUCUUCGGCAAUGAGCGCAAGCUUGACCGAGCGACGCCGCGUGGAUGAUGAAGGCCUUCGGGUUGUAAAAUCCUGUCGAGGGGGAUCAAGCGCAAGUUGAGUGAUCCCUGGAGGAAGCACGGGCUAAGUUCGUGCCAGCCGCCGCCGUAACAC
Molecule: ribosomal RNA, 485 nt
Filed under: uncultured bacterium
Lineage: Bacteria
Description: bacterial SSU rRNA
Rfam family: Bacterial small subunit ribosomal RNA
Source: RNAcentral